This 443-nucleotide ribosomal RNA is filed under the name uncultured bacterium. RNAcentral describes it as "partial 16S ribosomal RNA". It matches the Rfam family "Bacterial small subunit ribosomal RNA", at positions 338 to 795 of the family's 1533-position model. The record is from RNAcentral.
CCUACGGGUGGCUGCAGUGGGGAAUAUUGGGCAAUGGGCGCACGCCUGAACCAGCAACGCCGCGUGAAGGAAGACGGCCCUCGGGUUGUAAACUUCUUUUGUCAGGGACGAAACAAAUGCCGGUACCUGACGAAUAAGCCACGGCUAACUACGUGCCAGCCGCUGCGGUAAUACGUAGGUGGCAAGCGUUAUCCGGAUUUACUGGGUGUACAGGGCGUGUAGGCGGGAGAGCAAGUCAGAUGUGAAAUUCCAGGGCUCAACCCUGGAACUGCAGUUGAAACUGUUUUUCUUGAGUGAUGGAGAGGCAUGCGGAAUGCCGGGUGUAGCGGUGAAAUGCGUAGAUAUACGGAGGAACACCAGUGGCGAAGGCGGCCUGCUGGACAUUAACUGACGCUGAGGCGCGAAAGCGUGGGGAGCAAACAGGAUUAGAUACCCUGGUAGUC